Cygnus olor (mute swan) is the source of this 5390-nucleotide long non-coding RNA. RefSeq lists it as uncharacterized. Lineage: Eukaryota; Metazoa; Chordata; Aves; Anseriformes; Anatidae. The transcript has 3 exons. The record is from RefSeq and is a predicted model, not a curated record.
AAAAUCCGCCGCUUUGAGAGCGGCCCCGUGCCUGCUGUGGAAGUAGCAGCGCCUCUUGCGCUCAGCUGGAGCUGCUGGGAUUAAUUAGCACCAAUUAGCUGAUGGAAGCAACCCAUGAACCGGGACAGCUGAUAAAGGUAGGGCAAGAGGGAAGGGUGCAUGGCUGGGGGGCCAUGAGCUGGGGCUGCAGCCCCAUGGGCACCCAUUUUGGGGUCUCUGCGUGAUUCCCAGCAGGAAUGGCAUCGAUGGAGCCCUUGCUGGAAGGGAGCCUGGAUCACCCACGCACAGCACGUCCCAUGGGUGAUGCUCAGAGAGGAGCUGGCGCAGAAGCCUGCGGUGCCACGAAGUCCUCGAACCCCUCUGAGGGGCUCCGCCCUGGUGUUAUCUGCAGUCACUGCUGCUGCUGAGCGGCAGAAAGGAGAUGCUGCCUGGCUGGAUGCGAGCAAUUAAGCGAGAAUUGGGAAGGUUGGAGCCUGCCUGGCUGGGCCGCACGGCGGUGGGCACAGUGGUGCAAGGAGCACGGCCCCAGUGCCCGUGGCCGAGCCGUUCACACUCCAUCCCCAGCAACAAUGCAUCACCUUGCUCAAGAGAAGCUCCGGAGAGAAAUAUUGCUGAGGCCCAUCCCGAAUCGUAAGUCUGCAGGACUCCACCAGCCCGUUACUCAAUAUUUGGCAGCCUGAGCUGGGCUCAGCUCCGGGGUAGACUCCAAGGCUGACCCGGUUACCCCAGGGACCAGUUUGGCUCUUCGUUUGAUGAAACCCUUGGAAAGACACAAACUCCUGUGCAUGGGUCUGUGCUCGCGGAUGUCUGAGGCUAACGGGGAGGCAGCAUGUAAUUCACUGUGCCCCCAGAGGCCCUGGUCAUGAGAUGAUUCACGAAUGGCACGGGCGAGUCGCUCGCUGCCAGCCCCCAAGGCUCUGCUGCGGUGACACCGGCCAGGUCCUCGUCCCUGUGCCAGGUGUGCCGAGCUCCUGGCUGCGGGGAAGCAAGUCCUCGACUUCCCAGGUCCGUGCUGGGUCUCAGCAGCACCAAUCCCCCUUAAAUGAGGAAAGUCUGCUCCUCCAUCAGUGAUUCUUAAGGAGAAAUCCUCGGUGUUGGGUCCUUGCCCUGCUGGAAAUGAAGUGCAGCGCCCAGCGAUGCUCCCACCACCAGCCUGGUGGGGUGGCCAAAACCAGCGCGUUGUUCGCACUGGCUAAAAUUGCAUUGAAAUAAAUACAGUGUAGAGACUACAUGCAGCCUGUGCAUGGCAAAUUAUCCCGGAUUAUCCCCAGAGUUAGUGCAGCUGUGAGUGAUAUGGAGGUUAAUGUUUGGGUUUCAUACCAGAUAAUUUAUAGCGAAGUCCGGGGACGGGCUUUUAUCUGCUUUGAUGAAAGUUCAUCUGGAAUAACAAUACUUGGUAGAACCUAGUGCUUGGAUCGCGCUGCAAACCCAUGCCCUUGUGCCUGAAAGCAAGAUGUUUCCAUUUAAAAACACUGUUAGCAAGAACAAACAUCUCCCUAUUGCUGCUCUCGCUGCUCUUCUCCGCUGCAGUCAUCUGGUUUGGAUUAGGACUGGAUAAGGUCCCGCUCUGCUCAAGGAAACGAGGAGGGGGACUUGGAGCCUGUUCUGCUCAUUCGCAAAUGUGAGCUGAACGUGGCGCCCAAACGCAGACAAAAUGAGCUUCGACAGGCGAGGGGAAUCAAGAGACGUCGCAGCUCCUCCCGGUGGAAAGACCCCUUCCAGCAGCACUGGAGGUGGAUAGUGGGAGCUCGUCCACCUCGGAGCAGCCCCAGAUGACAGAAAACCGCCAGGACCGGUAGAAAUGAUCCUUGGCAAGGGGAUGCUGCAGGCGAGGUGCAGGUUUGGGGGUUCCCUGCUCUACCCUGGGAGGCUCCCGACCAGCACCCCUGGCUCCCAUCACCAUCCUGGCCCCAUAAGGCUCAUGGCAAGCUGCUGUUCCCUACGGGCAGGGUCCAGGAGCAGCCCCACAGCCCCCCCCCCUCACCCCACCUCUUUGGCUGCUGGGGGCAGAGCCUCGGGGAAACGCUGCUCCCAAGAGAAGCCAAGGGAGAGGGAGCCUCCGAAAAAGCUCCGGCAGCUUCUUGUGGCUUGUUGUUUACAUAGCGCCUGCUCCGAGCCGGCUCUUGCCAUAGCUGCUAAUUUGAUAGCAUGUGAUGAAUGGGAAAGGCUGUGCAGGAAACAGGGGAAACCGCCACCGCGUCACGGAAUGGAGCACAACGAGAGAGGGUGAAAAGAAAUGCGUGGAUUUGGGGGAGAUGGAGGGCUAAUAAAUCUGUAUUUAUACAUAUAUCCCCAUUAUGGGUGCUCAGCUUGGCCCAUAUGCGUAGGUCGGCGGUCGUAGCAGUGCCGCUGCGCGUCAUACAUGUAAAGCAAGAGCCUGCAGAGCAGUGCCACCUCCUGCACCUGAGCAGCAGCACGGGAAGGGAAGGACGGUCACUUGCUGCAAGUGAAGAGCUGAAGUCCUCGAUCCCCAGGGGAGCAAUUCAAACACGUGCAGCGCUCCUGAAACACGGCAGAAAUAGCGACCUGCUUGGAGUCUGUGUCCUGCCUCGGGUCGCUGGCCUGGACGUGGGGUCUGAAAUGGCCCCAGCUCUCUGCAGAACAGCCACGGCGUGCGUUACCUGCAGGGCAGCCGUUGUGCUUUUAGUUUUCCACUCUACCCGAAGCCAAUUGCGGGUGUUUGGGUGUUGUUUGCAGCAGGCAAAGUGCUCUGAGCUCAGCUUCAUCAGGUGCCAAUUAGCAAAGAAAACUUGUCCUGUUGGCAGUGACUUUUGACAAAUAUCUCGGGGAGAGAGAUUUCUCCAGCAAGACAAGCUGGUCUUCAGCUUUGAACCUGUUUUCACCCUGUCCCCGUGGUCACAAGAUGUCCCCACCCGCAUUCCCCCUGUUCAGGCAGAGCCCGCUGGUUUGCAGCAGCACCCAUGGGUGGCCCUGGUGGUGGCUUGUCACGGUCUCCAGGUGCCACAUGGAGCAUCCCUCUGCUCUCAGGCGUUCCUUUCCCUGUAUCUCAGAACAGGCCCUGGCUGCUGUGAUCUGUGGGCUCUGGGCUAAGCGGGGUGAAACCCCCCUGAGGUCGGCGUGUUUUCCACGGUUUUCAGGAGGAGGCUGGGCUCUUCCUGCUGAACCGGGGCUUUGUGGCUGGCGGCACACAAGACCUCACAAUUAUUUCCCAAAAGGAGCCCUCUGACAGUGCUCGCUCUCUUUUGAUGUGCUGGGCGGUUGUGGGUUUUUGCGGCUCCGUGUCCCAACAAGGAAACACGCUGUGUUCCCGGUGACCUCCCCGACACACCGCCAGGGAUGGAUUUACGGCUCCUCCCGUGCACAAUUGCUAUUGAUGUCGGCAGCUCUGGUCACAGACAAAGGACCGGGCAGCAUCCCCCUGCGCCACCCGCCCUCGCUGUGUUUUGGGGAGGUUUGCUGCCCUUCGGCAAGGAGAGGGCUGCUGGGCGUUUGGUGGGAAGAGCUUUUCUGGUUCGGAAAACCCAACGCGUGCAAUGCUGAGAGCUGGAAUCAGAUCUCACGUCUGGGUGCGGGUCAAUGGGUGCUGGAUCCCAAGCCUGGGUCAGACGCUGCUGCCCAUGGAGGUGUGAAAGCAGAGCCCCCUCCUCCUUUCUGCCUGAGGUGCAGCAAUGCCCUUCCUGCUCCUGUGCUCUCCUGCUGGAGAUGCUCCGGCCAGCAGCCGGGAUGGAUGAGCUCCCCGGGAGCACAGACAAAAGAGUAAAUGAAUACCGAGUGGGAAAACCCAAGGCAUUUAAAAAGAUCAUUUGGAAACAGCUUUUCCCCGGUCUGCCCGAGGCGGGCAGCCCUCCUCGCACUGGUGGCUGUGCUUGGUGGUACCCCCAGCGUUUCCCUUGCAUUUCUCCUCUUCUUCUAGUGCCCAUGGCUGAAGCACAGGAGAACAGGGGGAAAAUAUCAGGUUAAAACCAUGCUCCGGGCUCCAGCCUCAGCCUCUCAGCUCUUACAGGGGCUGUGCCCUGCCCAGCAGCAUUUGGGUGACGUGGGACCCACGGGCUGUGGAUGCAUCCCGAAAGGUUCCCGGGGUCUUAAUAUUGUCUGGGAAGAACACGCAGAAGUGACAGGCAGGUGCAAGGCAAAGUCUCCCAGCGGGACGCAGGCUGAGUCCCCGUGAGCAAAUUUUCUGCCCCUCAUCAUUCUGCGUCCCCCUGGCUGAGCUGUGACGGCUCAGACAGUCGCAUGCCUGACGGUGAUUUAUAUUAAGCAGAGGCCAGAUUCAAGGCUGCUCUGAGCCGCAUCUCCUGCUGGGGAGAGGCACGGGUUGGAUUUGGAGACAUGGAGGAUCCAGUGGCAGAUCGGAAAGUGGCAGGACUCGGGAGCUCUCCCUGCAGGGAGGAGGAUGUGGAAAUAGGACUCCAUUUUAAGCAGAGAGCCCUGGCAGGAGUCCUGGGCUGUGGGAAGCCAGCCCGGGCAAUUUAAGAAGGGUUUUCCAUAGCUCGUGUCUGUUGUUUGGUGAGCGCGUUUGGCACUCGCAUCCAACGCGCAUUUUAAAGGGAAACACGAAACGCCUGGCCCACUUGCUCUUUUUCCCCUCACAGCACGAGCAGCCCCAAACUCCCCGGGCUCGGGGGCAGCAGGGAGUGGUGGCACCGCUGACAAUUGUCCACCACGUCCCUGUCAGCCCCUGGGGGGGGCGAAACGGCCAGGCCCACUCCAUCGCUCCUGCUGGUGCCCACGGGCUGCCCACCAAGGAUCCCUGGGGCCGUCACAGGGCCACAUCCAGCACUCAGGAACCACCCCACUGAAGCCCCUCGUCCCCCCAGCUCCCCCAACCUCUGCAGCGUCCCCACGCCUCCCCAUGACGUGCAGUGGGAUGGAGACGGGGAUGGCACCUCCCGGUGAAGGGUUGCUCAGGGCUGAGGUCCCGGCACUGCCCGGCCCUGCCUGGGAAUCCGGCUGCCCCAGCCCCUUGGGUGCUGAGCACAAGCCCCAAACCUGGCCCUUUUCCCAGCGGCUUUCGCGUGCCGCCCCCUCGGUGGGGCAGAGCAGCCCUUGGGGCUGAUGCAGCGCCUCGGGUGCUGCGCCUACACGCGCUGCGGCACCUCCGGUCCCAGGGGGCUGCUCCGGGGUGCGCAGCACCGUGCUUACGGGGCCGAUCGUGGGGCUCAGCAGCGUUUCGGGGGGACCGAGCCCAAGGCACGGCAGCGCACGAGGCCCGAGCCCGGGCUCCGCAGCAUCGGCGGCCGCGUUUGCCCUCUAGCGCCCGCAGCCGCCCUGCGCAGCGCCGCACCCGGACCGCCCGGGGGGGGCUCGCUGGGCGUGUGCUCCAGCCACCACAGCGCCCACCGAGGCUACGAAAGGGGUGGGUAUUUUUAAGGAAACUCUAUGGUUCUAGGAUAAAAUGCAUCGCUCUUCCCCCGCCGGCAGGUAUUUUA